Molecule: long non-coding RNA, 228 nt
Filed under: Elaeis guineensis (African oil palm)
Lineage: Eukaryota; Viridiplantae; Streptophyta; Magnoliopsida; Arecales; Arecaceae
Description: long non-coding RNA (EGUI_LNC010041)
Source: RNAcentral
AUAACCGGUAUCUGAAAGUCAUGCAGGCCAGCAGUAAACAACACAGAAGCCUUCCUCAACAUUCAUGAUCUCCUGUUAGUUGUUAUAACAUCCUAUCAUAUUUUUAUGAUAUUCUGAACUUUGUUUGGCUUGUUAUUGCAACGGAAAGUGAUAAGGAAGAUACGGGAUGUCAUAAACGGAGAAUAGAGUAUCAUAAUUACUAUUCAAAAGUCAUAUAUAUAGGCCAGC